This 233-nucleotide ribosomal RNA is filed under the name uncultured bacterium. RNAcentral describes it as "partial 16S ribosomal RNA". The record is from RNAcentral.
UAAUCCGACCUAGGCUCAUCUGAUAGCGCGAGGCCCGAAGGUCCCCUGCUUUCUCCCGUAGGACGUAUGCGGUAUUAGCGUUCCUUUCGAAACGUUGUCCCCCACUACCAGGCAGAUUCCUAGGCAUUACUCACCCGUCCGCCGCUGAAUUCAGGAGCAAGCUCCUGUCAUCCGCUCGACUUGCAUGUGUUAGGCCUGCCGCCAGCGUUCAAUCUGAGCCAGGAUCAAACUCU